GAGUUUGAUCAUGGCUCAGAACGAACGCUGGCGGCAGGCCUAACACAUGCAAGUCGAACGAGCUGAGACCUUCGGGUCUCGAUGCUAGUGGCGCACGGGUGAGUAACGCGUGGGAACGUACCCUUUAGUACGGAAUAACGCAGGGAAACUUGCGCUAAUACCGUAUACGCCCUCCGGGGAAGAUUAUCGCUAAAGGAUCGGCCCGCGUCUGAUUAGGUAGUUGGUGAGGUAACGGCUCACCAAGCCGACGAUCAGUAGCUGGUCUGAGAGGAUUGACUCAGCCACACUGGGACUGAGACACGGCCCAGAC
RNAcentral lists this ribosomal RNA (310 nucleotides) under uncultured Alphaproteobacteria bacterium. Its description in RNAcentral is "bacterial SSU rRNA". It matches the Rfam family "Bacterial small subunit ribosomal RNA", at positions 9 to 336 of the family's 1533-position model. The record is from RNAcentral. Lineage: Bacteria; Pseudomonadati; Pseudomonadota; Alphaproteobacteria.